UUGUGGAGGGGGGGGGGGGUUGGGCUUUGCAGAAGUGAUGAGAUUGCAGUGGUGAUAGGACAGUCUGGAAAAGCCCUCACUGGGAAGGUGAGGACUGAACAGAGCCCUGAAACCAUGGCAUUAGAAUUUUUUCCCAUCCUAUCAAACAGCAAGUUGCACCCCAUUAUCCUUUAUAAAAUUUUAUUCUCACCUACAACUCUAUAUUAGUUCCUGGGUUUUUAUAAGAUCAUUACUGGUAUAUCUAUCUAGGGGUAACUUUUGAGAAUGACACCCAAAAUAAUCUAAAUCAUUCUGUUUUCUAAACUGGUUUGGCAAAAUCCAUAUAAACAACAUAGGUUCCUCUUCAUUCUCAGAGUUUAGUUCAUUUUAAAUUUUUUCUUGUGAAAUCUGUAUAUGUCUCAAAAAUACUUGAUAACCGCUUUUCAGUAGAAGUUAUGGCCUUAAACAUGUCUGUAAAGCUGAAAGGAAAUGCCAUUUAUGAUUUAUCAAUGGGAAACAAGCUAUAAAUUUUGAGUUACUCCAGAAACAAAAGGGGUGAAAUUUAUGGCCUAGUGCUAUAUGCUUUAAUUCUUAACUCACGAGCAAAAGUUUCUUGAAAAACACCAAUAUCUAAAUAGUAAAAGAAACUUUUUUCACAAAGGAGGAAACCCUUCCUUCUCCUACCUCGUUUCAAGAUCCACAAAAUUUAAAUUUGUGAUGAAGGGCAAAUAGUAUAAUUGAGUUAAUUUGAUAAGAUAGAGACUUGUAACUUUUUAUUUAUUGGAGCAUCAUCUUACGGUAUUUGCUGUUGAUCGGUUUCUUCCAUCCAGGCAGGCACCUGAGGCAUGAAAUUUUGAAAGAAAAUGUAAACUAUUAGCUUUUCCUCUUUUCUUAAUUUAAAAUACAAUUCUAAGUGAUUUUAAAGACACUUUCCUUCAGAAAUUUUGCAUUUCGUUUCUAUUCUGACUCUGAUGAGUUGUUUUUUUGUUUUUGUUUUUUUUACAUUUUAUUUUGCUUUAGAAAAAACUGAAGGUAGCUGAAUAGGUUUCCCCAACAUGAGAAAAAUGGUCAUGUAAGUUUAGAAGAAAUAUUUGUGUACAUCCUUUGGUCUCGGCCUGAAGAUUAAACAUUAUUUACUGGGCAUGUCUCUUAAACCUACCUCAUUGGAAUUUGGAAGAAUAUUCCAAUAGUAAUGAUAAAUAAGCCUCAAACUUAAUUUGCAGCGAAUUAGCCAUAUUUUUAUUCCACUAGAAAUACCGGAGACUUGGGGCAAGAUUUAGUUAUGCUUUUCUAUUUAAUAAUAUUCCAUUAAAUGUGACCUGUAGAGAUUACGAAGCUUAUCAAAAAUAUAGUCUAUAAAAAUACCCUAAGUAUGACGAUGCUUUUUAUGUAUUAAAACUGAGCUCAAGUAGUCCAAGCAACUGAUACUGGGAUACAUCGUGACCUGUAAGUUAGGAAAAAUAACAGAUGAGAGUCAUGUUUAUGCUUCUCUUUUCAAUUAUAAUCAUGUUUUUGAAAUUACAGAUCUCCUAAUUUUCCAAUCCUUAUCUGUAAGGAAGACCAAUGUAUAUAAGUUUUACGGGUGGAUGUGAAAAUUAGCAAACUAUUUCAUUUUAUUCAAUAUUUUCAUGAAGAUAUCAUUGGCAGGGCAGCUCAACAUUUUACAUGGUUAUCUUCAACAAGGGAACUGUAAGUGUUCUUUAAGUCAUUAAUUAGCUAAUCCUUAUUUACUGCGUAUAGCCAUCACAAUUCAUAUGAAUAAUGCAUGGGCUUCACAGAAUUAUUAGUACUGUACAUCAAAUGAAUGUUUGAAAGGGGAAAUAACUCUUAGUCUUUGGUAAAAGAGUAGGCAUAAAUUAAAUUCCUCGUUUGCCAGACUCAGCAGACACCAUUUCAUGUGUUGAGUUGUCCUUGGAGAAGACUGAGGCCAUUGUUUCCAUUAACAACAACAACAACAAAAAAUCCAAUAAUGUUAAAACAAAAAUACCACUAUAAACAUGAUCAACUGAGGUAAAAUCCCUGCGAGGAGGUACUUGAAAAUCUCAAGCAACUUGAAUCUUCCUCAAGAAAGUUCAACACAGCUCUCUCAGAAAACCUGGAGAUGCAUGUCUAAAAUUCAUAGGAGUUCUGUGAUAAGUCACCUACCUAGAGACCAAAAUAACAGAGCAGAGAGAAAGGAAGCUGAGGUAAGAAAGGGAGGAAAAGGGAAGAAAAGAGCCCUGGGUGGGGAGCUCAUGCUAACUCUUAGUACUGGAGGACUUGUAGGAAAAUACUUGUCUCUUGUGCCCAACACUGUAGUAGACGUUUCCUAUGCCUUCCCACCCUUCAAGGUGUGUGGUUUCAUCCCAAUUUGUGCACAAAAACAAAGUGUUCAAGCUGCCCAGGCCUCACAACUAGUAAGUGGGGAACUGAAUUUGAACCCAGGUUCAAAUUUUUACCAUACUAUGAUACCACCUCUUAACUAAAAUCAAAUUCACAAAGCAAACCAAAAACAAAAGCGUGAACAACCGAUCGUAAUGGAGUCAUGCCUGUAUCCUUUAUUACUGACAGAAGAAAAGCAAAUUUGAGUACAAGGUUUUAAGUCCUGCAAGAUGAACAAAGAAGAGAAAUACUUAACCGCUGUUCGCGCCAUGAAAGAGAAACAACUCAAUCUUGGAAAGUUCUUGGGAGGUAAGAUGGUAAGGUGUUGGCACAUAUGUUUGUAUCAAGACUCAGAAUGAGAGCAAAGUUUGCUGUUUUGGUCUUAGAUCUGUUGAAUGAACUUGUACCUUAUUUUCAACUGAACUUCAAAUACAGUGUUGUUUAAAGCAAUUGGUUCCCGUUAAGCAGUCCAUCUAGCCAUCUAUCAGGUGCAUCUGUAUAUGCCGCAUGCCUGGUAUCUAGUUGGAAUUAUGGUGGUGUGGAAUCAGAACAGGUCAUUUAGAUUUCAGAUUGGGAAACAGAGUUUACGCAGAGGGCAACGCAAGCAGAGUGGCUUGUUGUGGGAACAAACCUGGCCGUUGAGGAAGCUAUAAGAAGAGAAAAGCUAGAACAGGGAGAGGGACAUGGAGAGGUGUGGAAGACAAAACUUGGAGAAGUAGGUGGGGAAGCUUCUGAUUCCUCUCAAGCCCAUUUCUUCUGUGAACAGCAACUAAACCUUUCUGGACCACACACAAAAAAGCAAAUACCUAAGAACUCAGACGGAUUGUGAAGGAGACUCAGAACUUGGAAAAGCAGCCUCUAUGAGGAUGCUUCCCUUCCCUUUUUCUUUUUCUUUCUCUUUUCUCUUACAGGUUUGCGCCAGGGGUCAGCCCCACUUAUGGAGAUGUACAGCAGUGGAGGUUUACUCUGGAUUUUCUAUGCAAGAAAUCCAGCUGCCAGUCCAAAGAGCCAGGAGAAGCCUCUCCUGUUGGCCAAAGAGCAUGGAGUGGGGGGAAUGGGAAAGUCCUUAAGAGGGGAGAGCUGGAAAGGGGGACCCUCUCUCACUGUGUGUAUGACUUUCCACAUGUCCUGGGCUCACUCCUGAACUGGUGUGCACAAGGCAGACCCAAGGAACUCUGGCAAAGUCGACAAGAAACGAAAAUGAGAUCAAAACUACUGUUCGUAGAAAGUAACACAGGAUUUGCAAUCUGAGCCUAAUUGGGUUGAUUGCCUGCUUAAACAAACAAAAUAUUUCUCAGACAAUUUUAGUAAGACCCAGAGUUGACACAGCCCAGUAUCCAAAAUUGCUUAAGUAGGAAGACCAGGAUAAUGUGACCAAUUUCCAAGGAAAAAGUCAAUCAAGAGAUGCCAGCCUCGAGAUAAACCAGAUGUUAGAAUUAUCAGACAUAAAAGCAACUGUUAUAAUUAUGGCCCAUGAGAUGGAAGAUAAACACACUUGAACAGAAAGAUAGAAGUUCUCAGCAGAGAAAUUGUAAAAAAGAAUCACAUGGAAAUUCUAUAGCAAAAGAUACAAUAUCUGAACUUAAAAACGACUAGAUGGGCAAUAGAAAAAUGGAAAUGAAAGAGUCCGCAAAUUUGAAAGUAAAUUAGUAAGUGUGCCUUUAAUGAUGCCUUUAAAGUCUUAAAGGUGGAUGAGGCUUUGAAAAGCAAAAUGUAUCUGACUGUAAUUAGCUACAGGGAGCCCCAAUAAGAUAUUAAUCCAAGUACAUUCUUGUGGCUUCCUGAGAUACAUAUGAAGAAAUUCCUGCUGUUUGUCAAUUGCGUUGAGUAAGGAAUUAGCAUUAUCGUAGGCCCAACUGUAAUGAUUAUGCAAAUUUUCUACUACAGCGUCUUACACAGGCUUACUAUGUAGAAAACAUGUCACGUAUGUUCUGCGACUUACAAUGUCCAAGGUGAUGCAUUGACAAAAGUUUCCCAAUCGGCUCCAUUAAGUUGUGUACCUGCAGUCAAAGCAGUUUUGAAACAUAGGAGUGUCAUCACUAGGUAAUUGCCAAGCUCAUCAUCAGAGUCAGCGCCUGGGAAAUUGAUUGGCUCGCCUGCUCAUGUUAACUCUUUGAUUCAGCUUUUGUAAUAGGACCUCUCCCUAAAUAUAGAUGUUAUUACAGUGAUGCUGUAUGAAAAUUGACCUAUCUUGUAGGCACAAUACAUGCUUUUCAAUUUUAUAACAAAAAAAAAAAAAUGCUGUUAAUACUUAGGAAUCUGUUAUGAGAAAUCAUUAAGGUGAAUUUGGAGUAAGAUUGAACUGGUAUAUUAUGUUUGGAAAAAUGACUUCCUGCUGAAGGAAGAGAAUUUCAAGGCUUUAGAAUACCUCCCAUUGUUACAUUAGCACCAUAUUGCUCUUAAGAGGUAGUGUAAAUUCUUGUAAUGCUGGUGAUAAUUCUGGAUUUAAGAGUUUAACAAGUGUUGCCAUUUAAUUCUUAUAAGAUAGGAAGCACAGUUAUAUCCAUCUUAUGCGUUAGGAAUCGAGGUAUAGAAACGUUCAGUAACCGUUGAGCCUAGAAAAACUAGUAAGUGGCAGAGCCAGGACUGAAGUUCAGGUCAGCCUGAUCGCCAAGCCUAAGCCACUAACCACGUGUUACAUAUGUUACUUCCUAUAGCAACUAAAGGAGAAAUUUCAUGUUUCGUUUUUUUUUUAAAGUUUGUGUGUGAGAGAGAACGAGCAUGAGCAGGGGAGGGGCAGAGAGAGAGGGAGAGAAUCCCAAGCAGGCUCCACACUGUCAGCGCAGAGCCUGAUGCAGGGCUUGAUCCCACGAACCACGAGAUCACGACGUGAGCAGAAACCAAGAGUCGAAUGCUUGACCAACUGAGCCACCCAGGCGCCGCUCACGUUAUUUUAAAAGGGCAUAGCCUUCAAGCCGCAAAGGGUAGAAUAGUAGUCAAAGCAGUGGUUCUCGCGUUUUUUGGUCUCAGGAUUCUUCUUUUUUGGCCGCAAAGAGGGUUUAUUAAAAAUAUGGAAUGCUUCACGAAUUUGCGUGCCAUCCCUGUGCAGGGGCCAUGCUAAUCUUUCUGUAUCGUUCCAAUUUUAGUAUAUGUGUUGCCAAAGCGAGCACAGUCUCAGGAUUCUUUUAAACUCCUGAAAUUUCUUGAGGACCUCAAAGAGCUUUUGUUCAUGUGGGUUAUUUAUACUUACUGAUAUUUUACUCUAUUCGAAAUUAAAUCCGUGACAUUAUUACCUGAGAAAUAUUUAUUAAUUAAAAAUAACAAUAAACUCAGUACGUAUUAACAUAAAUAACAUUUUUUAAUGAAGAUAAUUAUGCUUUCCAAAACAAAACUUUGGUGAUGAGGAUGACUUCUUUAAAAAGAAAAUACAUUUCUUCCCCAAGUAUCUAUUAAUACUUGGCUUAAUAGAAAACAGCUGGAUUUUCACAUAUGCUUCUGCAUUUAAUCAGUUGUGAUAUGUUGUCUUGGUUGUAGUAUAUAAAGAAAAUAGAGCUUCUGUACACAGAUAUGCAGUUAGAAAGGGAGAAGUAUUUUAAGAGCCUUUUCAGAUAGUUGUAGGUAUUCUUACCUGGUAUCAUCAAACUCAAGUUGUAAUUUUUAAAAAGGUUGUUGCAGUGUGGGGUUGGGAAACCUCAUCGAACUUUUUGUGCUCUGUUUAAUUCAAACCUGUUGCUUUUAUCUUGUUCUUUGAAUGGCCUUUUACCCAUGUAUAAUUUUGUAACAUCAUGCAUGGAUUAUUUGGAACAUAUUGGCUCACUGAUUUGUAUAGAUCUUCCAAAUGUGGACACAUUUCAUUGUAAAUGUAAAAAAGAGAAAAGCACAUAUGCUAAUAUCAUCUUGAGCUCAGCAGAAAAGUCUUUAAAUACUGGGAAGCUAUCAAGUUCAUAGUAGCAGAAACAAGUUAUUUAAAAUAUUUAUUUUUACUUGAAAGCUUGAAUUUUAUCACCGAAAAUACACACUGUUAAUUGUUUUUCCAAAAGGGUCUCGGUAUCCCACUGGGGCCAUAGGCCACACUUUGAGGGUCACUGGCGUAAGAGCUUAGAUUGGGGAGAAGCAAGUUAGAAAACAUUUGUCUAAAGGUCCAAACAAAUUAAUUUUCAGGGUGCUGAAGGAACUUGAAGACGAGGUCUCAGAAUCACUAGCAGUGGGGGAAUGGGAGAGAGUUCAGACAUGUAAGAAUGAGAAAAGACUGCCUUGCCUCUCCAGAGGGAUGUAUUCUGGGUAACUCUGAUUCCCAGAAAAAGACUACGGGAUCUUCCGUAGCAGGUAGCUUAACAUUACAAAAUAAUUCUGUGAUUGCCAGGUGUGGUGAAGGCUAGGAGGUCAUCUCAAAUAUCGUUUUUUCUUUCUGAUCAUGUGACACAAUGUGUCACAUGGUAUAUACACUGAGCUAUUUGAAUAACUACAUAAAGACAGUUGAAGAGUAAUUUGUGUGGGUACUGCUUAUACAAAAUGGCAUAUGUUGCUUUUGAUCAGAAAAUCAAACAUAAAUUAUACGUAAUAUAAUUUCUCAUAAAAGAAAAUUUAUAGAAUACCUACCAUAUGCAAAAUGUGGUGUUGGGAAAAUGGCAGCUCUGAGGGGCACAUAUGAGGAAGUAGCAUGGCAUUAUGGGAAGAUCAUAGCAUUAGGAGUCGGGACACUUGAAAAUGUGUUCAUCCUGGUUUUCCACCAACUCAAUGGCUGCCCUUGGGCAAGUGACUUCGAUUCUAGACCUACGCUUGAUAUCUGUCAUAUUAAAGAAGUUAAGGCCUCUGAAAGGGAUGGAGUUGUGCUCUCCUAUGCCAUGGAGCAUAACCAGAGUUGACAAAUGGGAUUUGGGAGAUGCCAGUUUGCCUCACGGUGGAUAACCUCCUAUCUCCGUGAGGUCCAUUACUGAAGCCACUAGCCUCAUAUGGCUAUUGAGCACUCAAACUAGGACUAGUCUAAAUUGCGAUUUGCUCUCAGUGUAAGUUACACACCAGAUUUUGAAGACUUCAUAUGAAAAAUAGAAUGUAAAAUAUCCCAUCAGUAAUUUUCAUAUUAAUUUCAUGUUGCAAAAGAUAAGUUUUGGAUGCAUUGGGCUAUGUUAAAGUAUUAUUAAAUUAAUUUCAUCGGUAUUUUUAAAAAAUACCUGGCUACUAGAGAGCUUAAAAUUACAUUAGAUGGCUCACCUUAUAUUUCUUUUAGACAGUGCUGUUCUAGCUAACAGAGUUUCCAACAAAAGAACAGUAACUUGAAGAAGAACAUAAAUUUACUUUUAAUUUUACUUUUUGAGGUUUGCAAGCAGAACCCGAGUCACAGUUUUGAGAAGACAGCCUCACAGAAGACUGCGUGUGCUAUGCAGCUGGGCUAUACUGGGUUCUCCAUCUGCACUUGGAUCUUCAAAGAUCAUCGUUUGGAUGACCAUGCAGGCGCAGAGAACUGAGACAGUGAUGUUAGGAAGCUGGUGAAAACGCUCCCUGUUUAUUUCUGCCUGCUUGUCUGUGACCAGUGUUUCACAAAAGGAGUGAGAAAUUAGUAACCACAUGCUGGGUAAGAUGUUCACGAGAAGGUCAGGAAGCUUGUUUGUCAACCUUAAUUGACAACUGAUGUUUAAAAGGCGAAGCAUCAUUCUCGUAAUUUAAUGGGAGAAAUUGCUAUUUAAUGCCAGAGGGGGAAGAGCUACCAUAUGCAAAAGCCUGUGGAAAUGAGACAUACGGACAAAAUAAUCCCCUUUUUGUUUUAGGAAAACGUAAAGUGGUGCCCCAGGGAUUGUUGGCAAAUAUUAUCAUCUUUGAAAGCUACUACUUAACACAAAUUCCGGGAAACCGGAGGCUUCUGGGUAAUGUGAAUCACAAGGAAAGAAUGCCCCGUUUUGUGGCUGAAACUUUUUAAUGGAAUACUGGUUGAUCUUAGCGAAGAAGGCCAGGGGUCAGGGUCAGUUUGGGAGAAUUUUCUGCCUGUUUCUGUAGAGGCCCCUACAUAAAACACUUCUUUCUCGGCCUGAUUGAAAUGUUUCAUGUGAUCACCUACCCGUGGGAGCCACUCACAUCUCCAGAGAUAUGCUUCCUCCUUUUUCCCUAUGUUGCCUAACUUGAGAUAGAGCUUAAUAGGGCUCUACUCAUUCUUUAAAUGAAAAUUUCUUAAGCACUGGUUGCCUCCAUGCCUCCUGUCUUUGAUGAUCUUGAUUUAGAGAUGGUGUAUCUGAGACAGGAUCCCCUUAGCCAAACAGAAUCCCUCUACAUUUUAAACUGGAGGGCAUUUACUACAGGGAAUUGGUUACCUGAUGAGGGGGAAACCGAGAUGCCAAAGUGGGUGGUAAGGCCACCCAGGAGUUAUGGUAAGAGCAGGCAACUGCUUCGGCCCCAGGGCUGCAGAGGGCCGGGGGGAGUUGGUGGUGGGGGGGUUGUUGUGGGGUGUCCAGGAGCAUCACAGAAAGCUGAGAGGAGGGGAGAGAUAUCCUGACUCCUUUGGGUUUCUAGCUUUCUAAUCUUUCACUGGUGUCUUCACAGGCCAAACCCAUCCAGAACUGAAGGAAAGGGAGGAAGAAGUUCCUUGUAAUACAGAGUACAGCACUAGGACAGAGAUGGGUAAGCCAGGACUGUACUGUGAUGUAGUCUGUCCGUGCUAAGUCCUACGAGAGCAGGUUGCACGGUCCUCUGUGCGCUGAGAUGCCUUCAGAAGAAGCUAUUAUUUGAGCUGCUUCAUAAUGAAUAGUUCUAUGGUAGGAAAAGGCAGGGUGGGGGUAGGGGAGGAAGGGUGCUUUGAAAGAGAGGGGAAAAGACUUGGAGGGCUCAAAGCUUAUGUUGGAGUUGAGGAAUCACAAACAGCUCUUUGGGGAUAGAGCAUCAGUGGAUGGCGGGUGUGCAGGGGAUGAAGCUGGAAAGAGUUGGGGACCUCCUAGCACUUAGGACGAGGAGCUGGCCUCGGCUAGGACGCUAGGAUGGGGACAGUGUCAUUGAAAGUUCCCUCAGAGGUCUGCACCAGCGUGAAAAUGUGGUAUAAUGGGGAGACUGAAGACAGGGAGGUCAAUUAGAAGGAGGAGAGAGUGGGGAGAAGGGCAGGACUCCCCAGGGAGGAGCACGCAGUGAGGAGGGGAACCUAGUGACCUCAAGAAUGUUGAAUGGAUAGGAUUUGGAGAAUUUUUUAAUGUUUAUUUUUGAGAGAGAGAGAGAGAGAGAGAGAGAGCGAGCAGGGGAGGGGCAGAGAGAGAGGGAGACACAGGAUCCAAAGCAGGCUCCAUCCAGGCUCCGAGCUGUCAGCACAGAGCCCGAACUGUGGCUUGAACUCACGAACUGUGACAUCAUGGCCCAAGCCCAAGUCAGACGGUGCUUAACUGACUGAGCACAGCCAGGCGCCCCUAGGAUUUGGCGAUUUUAAUGUACAUCAUGAGGGGAGAUGCAGAAAUCCCCAUUGGAUGGCCAUGGUGCCAUUUACCCAACAGGAGGAGGGAGCUUUUUAUUGACCUCUCUGAUAUUUUCCAUGUAGAGUUUUAUUUUUGGCUGCUAGUGGAGUUUGAAAUGGAGAAAGCUAAAGCUGUCUAUCUGGUUGAUGUGCCAUUACUGAUAGGAAGAGAGUAGAUAGGACACACCUACCGCUCUCCCCAUUAGCUGCCUCAUUUCCUGUGGGAGAGACACGUAUGCCAGCACGGAAUAGCAAGACAAAGUGAUAGUCACGGAAGAGGUCAGUGCCAGCUGCUAAGGAGCUGAAGGGGGAGCCAGCUUCCAGCUCUGCCUGGGUGCAAGUGGAGGUGGGGUAUUCAUGAGGGCUUCCAAGAGGAAGCGACUCUUGACCUGACUCUUGAAGGGUGCGUGGGAGUUCUGUAGGUGGAAGGGUGAGAAGAUAAAGUGUGUAGAGACAUGACCUGUGAGAGAACACGGUCCCAUCUUGUUGAACAUAAGUGUGAGAAGGACAGAAUGAUGUGAAAUGAUGCCAAGACGGAGACGAGAGGUAGAGCGGUGACAAUGUUUACCCUAAAAUUGACGGGGAGACCUUGGUAAAUCUUGAGGAGAUCCUUUUUAGAUACCACUCUCUUGCUCGCUCAACAAAUAUCAUCUGAGUUCCGUGAUGGACCACUCUGGUGGCAGAGUGAAGGAUGAAUACAUAAGAGAUAUUUCACAGGGAACCAGCUGUUUUCCAAAACGUGCUGCUUCUGGCUCCAGACACAACUAGACCACAUUUCUGUCUCUCUUGCCAUUAGGUGUGGCUGCGUGUCCUUAUUCCAGUCUAAGCAAUGUGUGCAGAAGCGAAUCGUGCUUCGUUUUGGUGAGAUGGGGCCUUUGGGACCUACCCUGUGCUGGGCCUUAUGCUUUUCCUCUUCCUGGCCGACUGGGUUGAGACCUUGGAAACCAAGUCAGGAAGAUGCUGGAGCUGCCAUCAACACAGGCCUCCCUACUGUCUGGAAACAUACCCUGGACCAUAUGCGCCCCAGAAAUAAACAUUUCUUAAUGUGAGCCCUUGUGUAUAUGAAUCUAUCAGCACAGCUCAGCUACCCUAAUCAUAAUCUUAGUGACAUAAGAGGUUGGUGUAAGUAAAUGAAAGUUUCAGCUGGGGCCAUAGAAGUGAGGAUCGAGAAGCAGGAGGAGAGGGAGUAAAUGGCUGUUUAGAAGACAGAAAAAACAGGUGCUGGAAAGUGGUUGGCUUCGUGGGUGAGAGCGGUCCAGCAUGACUCCUGAUUCCUGCCUUGGGUGACUGGUCACAUGAUGGUAACAUUCCAUGACGGAACCAGAAGAGGAGCAGGAUGUUUGGUGUUAGGGGUAUGGAUCUGACUUAGUGAAGGUCUGGGAUUCAGACAUUUGGGAGACGGUAAACUUAUUAUGAAGGUAUGAAAUGAUUCAUUUAAGCAUAGAGGUAGAGUGUAGAGAACAGAAUAGAUAAUGGACUUCGAUGAAGCAUCUAUCUAUCUAUC
Long non-coding RNA from Neofelis nebulosa (Clouded leopard), 11207 nucleotides. RefSeq lists it as uncharacterized. Lineage: Eukaryota; Metazoa; Chordata; Mammalia; Carnivora; Felidae. The record is from RefSeq and is a predicted model, not a curated record. The transcript has 3 exons.